Salvelinus sp. IW2-2015 is the source of this 309-nucleotide non-coding RNA. Lineage: Eukaryota; Metazoa; Chordata; Actinopteri; Salmoniformes; Salmonidae. The record is from RefSeq and is a predicted model, not a curated record.
AACAUCUCUCUCCAUCUCUUUGGUGGGUUAGAUAGGAGGUCCAGUCGGACCCAUUUCACUGCGACACCUGCUUUAUUCUAUCCAACAUUAACAACGGACAGGGCUGUCAGARCAGAACGAAUGAGCAAAUAGCGGACAGGUCUGGACGAGAACACCCGUCUUACGGCUCACUAUGAAACAGGGUGGUCUCGUGGACGACACGGAGGAUGUGGAGUUGGAUUUCAGUACCGAAGAGGAGGAGCAGAGAGCGCGCAGGGGGGCAAAGAUCCGACACCCCCUCGCUCCUUCCUGCACCUGUUCUUCCGAGUG